This 358-nucleotide unclassified non-coding RNA is filed under the name Hevea brasiliensis (rubber tree). The record is from RNAcentral. Lineage: Eukaryota; Viridiplantae; Streptophyta; Magnoliopsida; Malpighiales; Euphorbiaceae.
UCUUUGCAGCCUGCUGAAGGGUUUGAACUUGACAGGAGUUUUACCCACUGAAAUAGGGAAACUUACUUUUCUGGUUCAACUUGAUCUCACUCGUAACUAUAUUAAUGGAACAAUCCCUGCAAGUCUUGCUCAGCUCCCUAACCUUCGAAACUUGUCCCUUUUGGCGAACCGUCUCACCAGUUCAAUUCCUCAGUAAAUUGGAAACAUUGCUACUCUGGAGGAACUAUAAAUUAAGAAACAGAAUUCUUUGCCAAGUAGAGCAAAUACGGAGUUACAGUGUUUUAUUUCCAACUUUAAAUGGAUGUUGCAGGGUUCUGGGAGAUAAUCUUCUUGAAGGACCUCUCCCUUCAAACCUUGG